Long non-coding RNA from Tripterygium wilfordii, 1505 nucleotides. RefSeq lists it as uncharacterized. The record is from RefSeq and is a predicted model, not a curated record. Lineage: Eukaryota; Viridiplantae; Streptophyta; Magnoliopsida; Celastrales; Celastraceae. The transcript has 4 exons.
ACCUUUUCCUUGUCUGUGUCUCAUCGUUUUGCUCGGGUUGGAUCCAAAUUAGUUAAUUCAUCGUGCUGCUGUGAGUUUUGCCAGAUCCGAUUCAUAGUUCUUCAGAACAGCCAAGACAAGACUCGUCUGCCGAAGUAAUACAACUGUAUUUUCUAGGGUUGCCUCUCAUCUGACGUCGUUUACAGAGUCCCACUACCGACAAAAGAAGGCUCACGAUAGAGACAAAGCUUUCGUGUGCGCAUCUCCUUUCCUUCACGGGUUGAUGGCGUCGUUUGGACGAAAGAUUCAGGUGCAUGCAUAUGCUUUUCUUUAUGGGUUAUUGGCGGCUUCUACACGAUUUGUCUUGCAACCUUUUCAUCUUCCUUCUCUUCGUGCUCACUCUCAACUGGAUUAACAAAUUCUUUCCUCUUCUCUCUCGCAUCGUUCUCAACUGCAAUGAACGAAAAAAGGUGAGAUAAACGUAGGCAGAGUCAAAGGAGUUCUCGGCCGUGUCCUUCCCCCUCUCUCUGUUGAAGUUCUUACUCAAUUUUUCUUUGGUUGCAGAUCUGAUUCAUCUGCAGUUUAUCGUUGGUGUCACUAAUUUUCAGAUCCAGAGUUUGGCAAAGACGAUGAAGCCAGAUAAUGAACGCUUGUUCAUUUGUUUUGUUGCAAGGAUGAAGAGACUUUGCUGCUAAAUAUCUGGCCAUCAAAAGUUUCUUAGUUGAAAAAAAGGUCAAGAAAUUCCUGAACAUAUCUUGCCAAACAUUGUGGCAUCAAUUUAAUUGUCUCAUGUUCUGCUGGGGACUUCACUCUUCUUAUUGGAGAUUGCUACAAGAAUAAUCACUUGAUAUUGAAGGCUAUAUUAGAUGGCAGUCAUAGGCUUCCUUCCCCUAAUGGUGUCCUGAUUAACAGUGGCGGCAACGGUGCAUUUUUCACUUUUGAACAAGGUAUGUGCCUUGCCUGCUACUUUCGUUUUGUAAUUAACAAUUACACAACAUGAUGCAGAUUAAUAGCAACAAGACUUCAAUUUCAAGUAAAUUGGAAGACAUGACCACCAAAGAUGUUGGCGCGAGCUUCGAUUUGCUAUGAAAAGGCAGCAUAGGAGACACAACAGGCUCGGUGAGAGCCUCCUUGAAGACCAAAAUUGGAGAUAACGAGUGAGAUUGGGGACUUUUAGCGAAUGAUGCGAACUUAUGUUUGUAGUUAUUCACUCCUGCUCCUUUCACUGAUUGCAGAUCUGAGGCAGAGGUUUUUUUUUCAUUUUAUAUGUCCACAAGGACUCGUUGGUGAUAGACGGGUUAUGAUAAGACCUUGCGAGUUUUGUCAAUUGAGUCUUGCCUUCAUUGCCUGUUAUGAUUCUGAUUACGUGAAUUAGGGACUCUUUAGAUGAUUAACCAUUUUAGAUGUAUAGAUCAUGAUACAUAAGUUGUUAGUUUGAGGUAAAGAUAGAUCAUGAUAAUACAAAGGCAUUCACUCAUGUAAUACUCUAUUCAAUGUUAAUAAGAAAAGUUCGUUUCCGCUUCAAA